This 115-nucleotide ribosomal RNA is filed under the name Bacillus amyloliquefaciens. The record is from RNAcentral. Lineage: Bacteria; Bacillati; Bacillota; Bacilli; Caryophanales; Bacillaceae.
UCAAACUACUUUAUCGGAGAGUCACACCCGUUCCCAUGCCGAACACGGAAGUUAAGCUCUUCAGCGCCGAUGGUAGUCGGGGGUUUCCCCCUGUGAGAGUAGGACGCCGCCAAGC